AGAGUUUGAUCAUGGCUCAGGACGAACGCUGGCGGCGUGCUUAACACAUGCAAGUCGAACGGAAAGGCCCUUCGGGGUACUCGAGUGGCGAACGGGUGAGUAACACGUGGGUGAUCUGCCCUGCACUUUGGGAUAAGCCUGGGAAACUGGGUCUAAUACCGAAUAGGACCACGCGCUUCAUGGUGUGUGGUGGAAAGCUUUUGCGGUGUGGGAUGGGCCCGCGGCCUAUCAGCUUGUUGGUGGGGUAAUGGCCUACCAAGGCGACGACGGGUAGCCGGCCUGAGAGGGUGACCGGCCACACUGGGACUGAGAUACGGCCCAGACUCCUACGGGAGGCAGCAGUGGGGAAUAUUGCACAAUGGGCGCAAGCCUGAUGCAGCGACGCCGCGUGAGGGAUGACGGCCUUCGGGUUGUAAACCUCUUUCAAUAGGGACGAAGCGCAAGUGACGGUACCUAUAGAAGAAGCACCGGCCAACUACGUGCCAGCAGCCGCGGUAAUACGUAGGGUGCGAGCGUUGUCCGGAAUUACUGGGCGUAAAGAGCUCGUAGGUGGUUUGUCGCGUUGUUCGUGAAAACUCACAGCUUAACUGUGAGCGUGCGGGCGAUACGGGCAGACUAGAGUACUGCAGGGGAGACUGGAAUUCCUGGUGUAGCGGUGGAAUGCGCAGAUAUCAGGAGGAACACCGGUGGCGAAGGCGGGUCUCUGGGCAGUAACUGACGCUGAGGAGCGAAAGCGUGGGGAGCGAACAGGAUUAGAUACCCUGGUAGUCC
This 771-nucleotide ribosomal RNA is filed under the name uncultured bacterium. RNAcentral describes it as "bacterial SSU rRNA". It matches the Rfam family "Bacterial small subunit ribosomal RNA", at positions 8 to 796 of the family's 1533-position model. The record is from RNAcentral.